Molecule: non-coding RNA, 314 nt
Organism: Pelobates cultripes (western spadefoot toad)
Lineage: Eukaryota; Metazoa; Chordata; Amphibia; Anura; Pelobatidae
Source: the annotation of a GenBank genome assembly
UAACAAUCCACAUACAUGCACACAACCCCACAUGCAGCCUCUCACAUGCAAUACCCCAAACAACCCCCACACUCUACCAAACACACAAUGUGACAUAUGCAUCCACACACCCAAUUCCACAAGCAGCCCCCAUACACAGCCCACAUUCAUAUGUAUCAUACACAAUACCAUAAACUACUCAUGAACAUAUACAAUAUAAUAGCUCAAAUACGCACAAAUACAAUGAUACAAAGCAAUUACAGUAAAAAUAACACAAGCAGAAUACGGCAGCAAACACACUUCAAUUUAAAAAAAAUUGGACCGGCAAGCUACGG